This 405-nucleotide ribosomal RNA is filed under the name uncultured Propionicimonas sp. Its description in RNAcentral is "bacterial SSU rRNA". It matches the Rfam family "Bacterial small subunit ribosomal RNA", at positions 356 to 774 of the family's 1533-position model. Lineage: Bacteria; Bacillati; Actinomycetota; Actinomycetes; Propionibacteriales; Nocardioidaceae. The record is from RNAcentral.
GGGGAAUAUUGCGCAAUGGGGGAAACCCUGACGCAGCAACGCCGCGUGCGGGAUGAAGUCCUUCGGGUUGUAAACCGCUUUCAGCAGGGACGAAGGGCUCCUGACGUUACCUGCCGAAGACGCACCGCCUAACUCCGUGCCAGCAGCAGCGGUGAUACGUAGGGUGCGAGCGUUGUCCGGAAUUAUUGGGCGUAAAGAGCUUGUAGGCGGUCCGUCACGUCGGAAGUGAAAACUCAGGGCUUAACCCUGAGCCUGCUUUCGAUACGGGCAGACUUGAGGGAUGUAGGGGAGAACGGAAUUCCUGGUGGAGCGGUGGAAUGCGCAGAUAUCAGGAGGAACACCAGUGGCGAAGGCGGUUCUCUGGACAUUUCCUGACGCUGAGAAGCGAAAGCGUGGGAGCAAACA